UACGUAGGGUGCAAGCGUUGUCCGGAAUUAUUGGGCGUAAAGAGCGUGUAGGCGGCCCGAUUAGUCUGCUGUGAAAGUCCAGGGCUCAACCCUGGGAUGCCGGUGGAUACUGUCGGGCUCGAGUCCGGAAGAGGAGUGUGGAAUUCCUGGUGUAGCGGUGAAAUGCGCAGAUAUCAGGAGGAACACCAAUGGCGAAGGCAGCACUCUGGGACGUGACUGACGCUGAGACGCGAAAGCGUGGGGAGCAAACAGG
Molecule: ribosomal RNA, 253 nt
Filed under: uncultured bacterium
Lineage: Bacteria
Description: partial 16S ribosomal RNA
Rfam family: Bacterial small subunit ribosomal RNA
Source: RNAcentral